CAAAAAUUCCCUCCCAUUGUUCUCAAGUUUCAGAUCUAACAUUUGAAAUUCAAACUCCAAAUCUUAAAAAAAAAAAAAAACAAAACAAAAAACAUAAGAAAAAGCAAGGGAAAAUCCAAAAAAAAAAACGGUUACAUUGAAAGUCAUUAGAUUAAUUUUGAAUUUUAGCUGUUGAUCUUCCUUUCCUAGCUCAGUUUCCGGUCAGUGGAGGUUUCAGGAUAUUUCUCAGUCAAUUUCGAGUUGUUGUGAGUGUAUUCAAGCUGGCUUUGGUUGAUUUAGUGGUCGAAAUUAGUGCUGGUCGAUUGUUAUUACUGGAUUUUGAACUUAUUCCAGAGUUGCUGCUGAGAAAUUUUAUUGCUGUUAAUCUUUUCUUUUUCUUAUUGCUCUCAGAUUUCUAGGUACACAUUUGAAUCCACUCUGCUGUAACUCCGAGUCUUGAAAAGGAAUAAAAUUGGUCGCCUAUUUGAUCUUGGAAUAUGCUGCCUGGACUGUUGUGUGUUAGUAGCUAAUAGUUGUUAGAAAUAAUUGUUCAAGAUAGUUUAAAGUCGAUUUGUAUGUAUAUAAACUUUGGACUGUAUGAUUGAGACUGAAUCAGACUAUUUUCGAUACUAUUGAGACAUUUGUAAUUAGUUGUAGUCCACUUUCCUAAUAUCGGAAUUUUGCAUAUAAAGGUUUGAACUAGACUACUGUAAAUCAUAAAUAUGAAUUUGUUUUUU
RNAcentral lists this long non-coding RNA (716 nucleotides) under Nicotiana benthamiana. Its description in RNAcentral is "long non-coding RNA (NBEN_LNC004086)". Lineage: Eukaryota; Viridiplantae; Streptophyta; Magnoliopsida; Solanales; Solanaceae. The record is from RNAcentral.